This 274-nucleotide ribosomal RNA is filed under the name uncultured bacterium. RNAcentral's name for it is "partial 16S ribosomal RNA". It matches the Rfam family "Bacterial small subunit ribosomal RNA", at positions 523 to 796 of the family's 1533-position model. The record is from RNAcentral.
AUACGGAGGGUGCGAGCAUUAAUCGGAAUUACUGGGCGUAAAGCGUACGUAGGCGGUUGGUUAAGUUAGAUGUGAAAGCCCCGGGCUUAACCUGGGAACUGCGUUUAAAACUGGCGAACUAGAGUUGAGUAGAGGGGAGUGGAAUUUCAGGUGUAGCGGUGAAAUGCGUAGAGAUCUGAAGGAACACCAGUGGCGAAGGCGACUCCCUGGACUCGAACUGACGCUGAGGUACGAAAGCGUGGGUAGCAUACGGGAUUAGAUACCCCAGUAGUCC